Molecule: ribosomal RNA, 253 nt
Filed under: uncultured bacterium
Lineage: Bacteria
Description: partial 16S ribosomal RNA
Rfam family: Bacterial small subunit ribosomal RNA
Source: RNAcentral
UACGUAGGGUGCAAGCGUUAAUCGGAAUUACUGGGCGUAAAGCGUGCGUAGGUGGUUUGUUAAGUCUGUUGUGAAAGCCCCGGGCUCAACCUGGGAAUGGCAAUGGAUACUGGCAAGCUAGAGUGCGGUAGAGGGUAGUGGAAUUCCUGGUGUAGCGGUGAAAUGCGCAGAUAUCAGGAGGAACACCAAUGGCGAAGGCAGCACUCUGGGACGUGACUGACGCUGAGACGCGAAAGCGUGGGGAGCAAACAGG